UACGGGGGGAGCAAGCGUUGUUCGGAUUUACUGGGCGUAAAGGGCGCGUAGGCGGUCGUGACAAGUCACUUGUGAAAUCUCCGGGCUUAACUCGGAACGGUCAAGUGAUACUGUCGGACUAGAGUACAGAAGGGCAACUGGAAUUCUCGGUGUAGCGGUGAAAUGCGUAGAUAUCGAGAGGAACACCUGCGGCGAAGGCGGGUUGCUGGGCUGAUACUGACGCUGAGGCGCGAAAGCGUGGGGAGCAAACAGG
RNAcentral lists this ribosomal RNA (253 nucleotides) under uncultured bacterium. RNAcentral's name for it is "partial 16S ribosomal RNA". It matches the Rfam family "Bacterial small subunit ribosomal RNA", at positions 524 to 776 of the family's 1533-position model. The record is from RNAcentral.